This 275-nucleotide non-coding RNA is filed under the name Acetobacterium wieringae. Lineage: Bacteria; Bacillati; Bacillota; Clostridia; Eubacteriales; Eubacteriaceae. The record is from RNAcentral.
ACAACUGCUAUGACCAAGAGAAAGAUACCAAGGAUUGUAUUGAAGAGAGUUGGAGGAUGGUGUGAUUCCAAUAGUACAAUGGUAUGUAAUACUCACUUGCGAGCUGCCAACCUGAACAUUUACCCAAUUAGUAGGGAAGGCCGUGAUCCCGUCCGGGAUGUCAACGUUAAAUGACUAUGGUUAGGUUCGCCUUGCGUUCAGACCAGAAGAGGAAAUAGUUGUAAAGCUAUUUUAAAUUUAGAGUGGUACCGUGGAUACUUAUAUCCGCCUCUGUU